This 270-nucleotide long non-coding RNA is filed under the name Homo sapiens (human). RNAcentral describes it as "HSALNT0108388". The record is from RNAcentral. Lineage: Eukaryota; Metazoa; Chordata; Mammalia; Primates; Hominidae.
CUUCCCAAUUUUACUGAGGAGGAAACUGAAGCUCAAAGAGAAUCUCUCAUGCAAGCAACGUCAUACAACUAAUGACUGGACCAGAGGCAAACACCUUGAUGCAAGGCCACCUCGUCCAUUGGUUGGCCAUGAACGAUCAAGUCAUUUUGGGAAAAAGCCAUCUAGAAUCAGGGCCAAAGUCAGCCCUAGAUCACAACAAAGUCACAAAGUCAUGUGCUAACUGAAAUUAUGAGAACUGAAACCAUCAGGAAGAUGGCAGGGAAGGGGAGG